GAUGAAGAACGUAGCGAAAUGCGAUACGUAAUGUGAAUUGCAGAAUUCAGUGAAUCAUCGAAUCUUUGAACGCAUAUUGCGCUCUCUGGUAUUCCGGAGAGCAUGCUUGUUUGAGUAUCAGUAAACACCUCAACUUCCAUAUCUUUUUUUGAAAUGGGAGUUGGACUUGAGUGAUCCCAACGCUUUUCCUCACCGAAAAGUGGCGGGUUACGUGAAAUGCAGGUGCAGCUGGACUUUUCUCUGAGCUAUAAGCAUAUCUAUUUAGUCUGCCUAAAAAACAGAUUAUUACCUUUGCUGCAGCUAACAUAAAGGAGAUUAGUUCUUGUGCUGACUGAUGCAGGAUUCACAAAGACAGCUUCGGCCGACUUUGUAAACUCGAUCUCAAAUCAAGUAAGACUACCCGCUGAACUUAAGCAUAUCAAUAAGCGGAGGA
Molecule: unclassified non-coding RNA, 433 nt
Filed under: soil metagenome
Description: partial contains 5.8S ribosomal RNA, internal transcribed spacer 2, and large subunit ribosomal RNA
Rfam family: 5.8S ribosomal RNA (bases 1-120)
Source: RNAcentral